GAUGAAGAACGUAGCGAAAUGCGAUAAGUAAUGUGAAUUGCAGAAUUCAGUGAAUCAUCGAAUCUUUGAACGCACCUUGCACCCUUUGGCAUUCCGAAGGGUAUGCUCGUUUGAGUGUCAUUGUACUCUCACACUCCCAAUUGCUUUGGAUUGGGAGCGGUGGACUUGGGUGUUGCUGCUUGACUGAGGCUCACCUGAAAUAUGUUAGUGCACCUCUUGAUUGGACAUAGUACGGCGUGAUAAGUGUCUUCGCCGGCUCCUCGCAAAGAGGGUGGCCGAUCGGGAGCUCUGUUGCUUCAAACUGUCUUCGGACAAUCUACUGGCGACUUGACCUCAAAUCGAGUAGGACUACCCGCUGAACUUAAGCAUAUCAAUAAGCGGAGGA
Molecule: unclassified non-coding RNA, 385 nt
Filed under: soil metagenome
Description: partial contains 5.8S ribosomal RNA, internal transcribed spacer 2, and large subunit ribosomal RNA
Rfam family: 5.8S ribosomal RNA (bases 1-120)
Source: RNAcentral